UACAGAGGGUGCGAGCGUUAAUCGGAAUGACUGGGCGUAAAGGGCGUGUAGGUGGUUAUGAUAGUCUAAUGUGAAAGCCUAGGGCUUAACCUUGGGAGGCCAUUAGAUACGUUAUAGCUAGAGUGUUAUAGAGGGUAGUGGAAUUCCCGGUGUAGCGGUGAAAUGCGUAGAUAUCGGGAAGAACACCAGUGGCGAAGGCGGCUACCUGGAUAAGCACUGACACUGAGGCGCGAAAGCGUGGGUAGCGAACAGG
RNAcentral lists this ribosomal RNA (253 nucleotides) under uncultured bacterium. RNAcentral's name for it is "partial 16S ribosomal RNA". It matches the Rfam family "Bacterial small subunit ribosomal RNA", at positions 524 to 776 of the family's 1533-position model. The record is from RNAcentral.